Non-coding RNA from Pelecanus crispus (Dalmatian pelican), 980 nucleotides. Lineage: Eukaryota; Metazoa; Chordata; Aves; Pelecaniformes; Pelecanidae. The record is from RefSeq and is a predicted model, not a curated record.
AGGUAUAUGCAAAUGGGAUUCGUAACAUUGAUUUACACUUCAUAAUCCGUAAACUGGCAGCACCUGUAAUCUCUGUUCUGUUACUUUCCCUGUGUGUACCAUACAUCAUAGCUUCUGGUGUUGUUCCUUUGUUAGGAGUUACUGCUGAAAUGCAAAACCUAGUUCAGCGACGGAUUUAUCCUUUUCUGCUUAUGGUGGUGGUUUUGAUGGGAAUUCUCUCCUUCCAAGUCCGCCAGUUCAAGCGCCUUUAUGAACAUAUUAAAAAUGACAAGUACCUUGUUGGGCAACGACUUGUGAAUUACGAACGAAAGUCUGGUAAACAAGGCACAUCAACAACUCCACCUCAGUCUUCACAAGAAUAGAUGGUCAUGUUAAACGUCUUGACUUUCCCUUUGCCUUUACACAUCCUUUUUUCAUAGACUCUUCUUCAGUCUUUGGAUAUCUCUCCCAGUAAUACUCUCAGCAGUGUUUUGGCUUCUGUUAGUAGCAUCCAGAUAGCAGUUAAGACUCUGCUCCUUACCUGCAUUUUCUGAUGUUAUCAAUGCUGUCUGAGGUCUGUAUAUGUGUAAAUAGAAGUAUCCUGACACCCUAAAAACUUGGAUUAAAAAGAAUGUGCAUUGUACAUCUUUAAAAAGUAUAUUAAUUUAUUAAAUCUAGUUGUCACUUUAUUUUGGACUGCUGUUCUGUUGACAAUGUGCCACAAAGCAAUAGUGCGAAGAGGCAAGAUGUUUUUAUAAAAUUUGGAAAUUACUUUAUGGUGUUCAUAACAGUUCUUAUUGUAGUAAUAUAGUAUGAUUUUUCAUGAGUGGAAAGGCCACACGGAGAAUAUCAAAAGUAAAUAACUGUCUUAUAGUCAGCAAUGAAGUGGCUGUGGUGAGAACAUAAUGAACUAUGUAUCUUGCUGUCAAGUCUUUUUUAUUAUUUUGUAUAACACCAAAGCUGUUGUACAUUUUCUAUUGCCUGAUUGUUUUUCAUGUGUC